UCCUGCAUAGUUCAGUUGGUAAAGCAUCUGCUUGCAAUGCGGGAGACCUGGGUUUAAUUCCUGGGUCAGGAA
RNAcentral lists this transfer RNA (72 nucleotides) under Bos indicus x Bos taurus (hybrid cattle). It matches the Rfam family "tRNA". From Rfam's summary of the family: Transfer RNA (tRNA) molecules are approximately 80 nucleotides in length. Their secondary structure includes four short double-helical elements and three loops (D, anti-codon, and T loops). The record is from Rfam by way of RNAcentral. Lineage: Eukaryota; Metazoa; Chordata; Mammalia; Artiodactyla; Bovidae.